AUGGCUUCUUUGCCUUUUGGCUAAGAUCAAGUGUAGUAUCUGUUCUUGUUAGUUUAAUACCUAACAUCACCCGUGCCCUGGGACUACUCACAAAAGACCUCUUUUUGGCUUCCCUAUUAAUAUUAUGGAUUAAUUUCUGCAGUGAGAAAUUGUUGGGCAGAACAAGAUAGCUGGCUCAGCCAGCUCUC
Small nuclear RNA from Lemur catta (Ring-tailed lemur), 188 nucleotides. RefSeq annotates it as U2 spliceosomal RNA. The transcript has a single exon. The record is from RefSeq and is a predicted model, not a curated record. NCBI's taxonomy places the organism in Eukaryota, Metazoa, Chordata, Mammalia, Primates, Lemuridae.